Cicer arietinum (chickpea) is the source of this 827-nucleotide long non-coding RNA. RefSeq lists it as uncharacterized. The record is from RefSeq and is a predicted model, not a curated record. NCBI's taxonomy places the organism in Eukaryota, Viridiplantae, Streptophyta, Magnoliopsida, Fabales, Fabaceae.
GGAAGUGACCAAAAACUCAAAUCCACUCCUUGUAUGAUGACAAAAGAAAGAUGGUGUAUAGUACUUUCAAUUAUUUCAAAAGUUAGCAGCAUAGGGUAGUCAAUUCAUCCAGCAAAAGAUGAAAAGAAACUGUUACUUAAUUCACUCUUUCACCCUCAAAACUCCAACUCUGAACUUACUCUUCAGAAAACACCAAAUUUAACUCUUCUAGCUAUAAUUAUUUCCCUUAAAUUUUUUUGAGAUACAUAACUGCUACAAACUUCUUUUGUUGAUCAUUUUUUUCUCUUCUCUUUCUCUUUUUUGUACACUGAUGGAUUCACCAAAAAUACACCCCUGUAGACUAAAAACUUCAAUUACUCUCAUUCUCAUAAUUUUUCUUACCUUAUUUGCUUCUAAUUUAGAAGGGUCACAAAAUUUGAAGAAAGAUCAAGAAAAUAAGGGUGUGAUGAAUCAAAAUAAAUUGGUAUUGGGAUCAAGACCACCUAGGUGUGUUAACAAAUGCUUGAGCUGCAGGCCUUGCAUGGCUGCUUUAGUAAUCUCACCUCAUCACAAAGUUGGUCACAUUCACAAGGCAAAAAUAACAGCUGAAAAAGAUGAGGGUUAUUAUCUUCUGUCAUGGAAAUGCAAGUGUGGUAACAGGUUCUUUCAACCAUGAAAGUUCAUAUAUAAUAUUAUAUAGCCAUAUAGUGCCUAAGAUAUAGUGGCAUGUUUAUGUAAAGUUUAAAAGAUUGAGCAAUUCUUAGUGUACCUGUUGUGUAGUAAUAGUAUGAACCAAAAUGUUAAUCAACCUUCUCCUUUUCAAAUAGCAAUCAGUUAAUUCCCAACAA